GAUAAACGCUGGCGGCGUGCAUGAGACAUGCAAGUCGAACGGACGAUAGGGGCUUGCUCCGAUCGUUAGUGACGGACGGCUGAGUAACGCGUAGGUGACCUCGCCCCGAAGUGGGGAAUAACUGCCCGGAAAGGGGUGGCUAAUACCGCAUGUGGUGGUGCGUUCAUUCGUACCAGUAAAGCCGCAAGGCGCGUUCGGGGAGGGGCCUGCGUCCGAUUAGCUCGGUUGGGUGGGGUAACGCUCACCAAGGCGACGAUCGGUAGGUGGUCUGAGAGGACGAUCACCCAGACUGGGACUGAGACACGGCCCAGACUCCGUACGGGAGGCAGCAGGUCGGGUAAUUUUGCGCAAUGGAACGAAAGUCUGACGCAGCAACGCCGCGUGAGGGAUGACGGCC
RNAcentral lists this ribosomal RNA (397 nucleotides) under uncultured bacterium. Its description in RNAcentral is "bacterial SSU rRNA". It matches the Rfam family "Bacterial small subunit ribosomal RNA", at positions 28 to 416 of the family's 1533-position model. The record is from RNAcentral.